RNAcentral lists this long non-coding RNA (199 nucleotides) under Physcomitrium patens. RNAcentral's name for it is "long non-coding RNA (PPAT_LNC000568)". The record is from RNAcentral. Lineage: Eukaryota; Viridiplantae; Streptophyta; Bryopsida; Funariales; Funariaceae.
UAUAAUUUAAUUAAGAAUCCAUUAGAAUUUUUAGGACUUGUUGUUGCAAUUUUCCUUCUAUCUUCUACAACUAGGUGCCUGGUACAUUCUCAAGCCAAAUUCCAUGUAAUACGACAACAUUUUGCGAGUCUUUUUUUGCUUUGUAAGAAAUUUAAAAUGUAUAAUAUCAAUUUUUAUUGGUUCUAGCCUUGAUGAAUAA